RNAcentral lists this ribosomal RNA (464 nucleotides) under Vreelandella stevensii. RNAcentral describes it as "partial 16S ribosomal RNA". It matches the Rfam family "Bacterial small subunit ribosomal RNA", at positions 338 to 795 of the family's 1533-position model. The record is from RNAcentral. Lineage: Bacteria; Pseudomonadati; Pseudomonadota; Gammaproteobacteria; Oceanospirillales; Halomonadaceae.
CCUACGGGGGGCUGCAGUGGGGAAUAUUGGACAAUGGGCGAAAGCCUGAUCCAGCCAUGCCGCGUGUGUGAAGAAGGCCUUCGGGUUGUAAAGCACUUUCAGUGGGGAAGAAAGCCUUGGGGCUAAUACCCUCGAGGAAGGACAUCACCCACAGAAGAAGCACCGGCUAACUCCGUGCCAGCAGCCGCGGUAAUACGGAGGGUGCGAGCGUUAAUCGGAAUUACUGGGCGUAAAGCGCGCGUAGGCGGUCUGAUAAGCCGGUUGUGAAAGCCCCGGGCUCAACCUGGGAACGGCAUCCGGAACUGUCAGGCUAGAGUGCAGGAGAGGAAGGUAGAAUUCCCGGGGUAGCGGUGAAAGGCGUAGAGAUCGGGAGGAAUACCAGUGGCGAAGGCGGCCUUCUGGACUGACACUGACGCUGAGGUGCGAAAGCGUGGGUAGCAAACAGGAUUAGAUACCUAGUAGUC